This 468-nucleotide ribosomal RNA is filed under the name uncultured bacterium. RNAcentral describes it as "partial 16S ribosomal RNA". It matches the Rfam family "Bacterial small subunit ribosomal RNA", at positions 28 to 507 of the family's 1533-position model. The record is from RNAcentral.
GAUGAACGCUGGCGGCGUGCUUAACACAUGCAAGUCGAACGGAAAGUCGCUGCUUAAGUGGGGUUUUCGUGUGGCGAGCGUGAGUGACACGUGAAGAUCUUGCCUCCCUGCUAGUGACAACACUUGGAAAAGCAUGCUCAUACAUAAUAUAAUAAUACUAGCGCAUCGUAGAGUUAUGAAAACUUUCAGCGGUUGGGGAUGGACUUGCGGCCUAUCAGCUUGUUGGUGGGGUAGUGGCUUACCAAGGCUUUGACGGGUAGCCGGCCUGAGAGGGUGACCGGCCACAUUGGGACUGAGGUACGGCCCAGACUCCUACGGGGGGCAGCAGUGGGGAAUAUUGCACAAUGGGCGGAAGCCUGAUGCAGCAACGCCGCGUGCGGGAUGACGGCCUUCGGGUUGUAAACCGCUUUCGCCUGUGACGAAGCGUGAGUGACGGUAAUGGGUAAAGAAGCACCGGCUAACUACGUG